GUCUAUGGCCAUACCACCCUGAACGUGCCCAAUCUCAUCUGAUCUUGGAAGCUAAGCAGCGUUGGGCCUGGUUAGUACUUGCAUGGGAGAAAUUAACCAAUUUUCAAUUUUCAGAGACAUUCUUU
Molecule: non-coding RNA, 125 nt
Organism: Heterocephalus glaber (naked mole-rat)
Lineage: Eukaryota; Metazoa; Chordata; Mammalia; Rodentia; Bathyergidae
Source: Rfam